UAAGGAGGGUGCGAGAGUUAAUCGGAAUUACUGGGCGUAAAGCGUGCGCAGGCGGUCUUUUAAGCCAGAUGUGAAAUCCCCGGGCUUAACCUGGGAACUGCGUUUGGAACUGGAAGGCUAGAGUACGGCAGAGGGGGGUGGAAUUCCACGUGUAGCAGUGAAAUGCGUAGAGAUGUGGAGGAACACCGAUGGCGAAGGCAGCCCCCUGGGCCUGUACUGACGCUCAUGCGCGAAAGCGUGGGGAGCAAACAGG
RNAcentral lists this ribosomal RNA (253 nucleotides) under uncultured bacterium. RNAcentral's name for it is "partial 16S ribosomal RNA". It matches the Rfam family "Bacterial small subunit ribosomal RNA", at positions 524 to 776 of the family's 1533-position model. The record is from RNAcentral.